UAUUCCCCACUGCUGCCUCCCGUAGGAGUCUGGGCCGUAUCUCAGUCCCAAUGUGGCCGUUGAACCUCUCAGUCCGGCUACUGAUCGUCGUCUUGGUAAGCCGUUACCCCACCAACUAACUAAUCAGCCGUAAGCCCAUCUAUUAGCGGAUUUCUCCUUUCCCACUAGUAUCAUGCGAUACCUAUGGCAUAUGCGGUAUUAGCAGUCAUUUCUAACUGUUGUUCCCCUCUAAUAGCCAGGUUGCUUACGUAUUACUCACCAGUCCGCCACUAAAGCCAUUGUUGUAAGUCAACUUCCAUUCCCUUCGAACAAGUUCUCUGUUCCUUUCCACAUCAUUACAACGACUUCCGUUCGACUUGCAUGUCUUAUGUGCGCCGCCAGCGUUCAUCCUGAGCCAA
This 398-nucleotide ribosomal RNA is filed under the name uncultured rumen bacterium. Its description in RNAcentral is "partial 16S ribosomal RNA". The record is from RNAcentral.